UGGGGAAUUGUUCGCAAUGGGCGCAAGCCUGACGACGCAACGCCGCGUGGAGGAUGAAGGUCUUCGGAUUGUAAACUCCUGUUGAUCGGGACGAAAAGCUUCAACCUAAUACGUUGAAGACUGACGGUACCGGUUGAGGAAGCCACGGCUAACUCUGUGCCAGCAGCCGCGGUAAUACGUAGGGACCAAGCGUUGUUCGGAUUUACUGGGCGUAAAGGGCGCGUAGGCGGCAUGACAAGUCACUUGUGAAAUCUCUGGGCUUAACCCAGAACGGCCAAGUGAUACUGUCGCGCUAGAGUGCAGAAGGGGCAAUCGGAAUUCUUGGUGUAGCGGUGAAAUGCGUAGAUAUCAAGAGGAACACCUGAGGUGAAGACGGGUUGCUGGGCUGACACUGACGCUGUAGCGCGAAAGCGUGGGGAUCAAACAGGAUUAGAUACCCUCGUAGUCCCUGAGCGGGCUGGCAAGGCGCAU
RNAcentral lists this ribosomal RNA (471 nucleotides) under uncultured bacterium. RNAcentral's name for it is "bacterial SSU rRNA". It matches the Rfam family "Bacterial small subunit ribosomal RNA", at positions 355 to 825 of the family's 1533-position model. The record is from RNAcentral.